This 74-nucleotide transfer RNA is filed under the name Aristelliger praesignis (Woodslave). RNAcentral describes it as "tRNA-Trp". The record is from RNAcentral. Lineage: Eukaryota; Metazoa; Chordata; Lepidosauria; Squamata; Sphaerodactylidae.
AGAAACUUAGGUUAACACACCAAACCAAGGACCUUCAAAGCCCUAAAUAUGAGCACCACACCUCUUAGUUUCUG